RNAcentral lists this non-coding RNA (21 nucleotides) under Caenorhabditis elegans. The record is from RNAcentral. Lineage: Eukaryota; Metazoa; Nematoda; Chromadorea; Rhabditida; Rhabditidae.
UUUUACAUUUUACAUUUUUCA